RNAcentral lists this non-coding RNA (59 nucleotides) under Ahrensia marina. RNAcentral describes it as "Alpha-proteobacteria SAM riboswitch aptamer". It matches the Rfam family "Alpha-proteobacteria SAM riboswitch aptamer", at positions 20 to 79 of the family's 79-position model. From Rfam's summary of the family: This family is a riboswitch found predominantly in alpha-proteobacteria that binds S-adenosyl methionine (SAM). The record is from Rfam by way of RNAcentral. Lineage: Bacteria; Pseudomonadati; Pseudomonadota; Alphaproteobacteria; Hyphomicrobiales; Ahrensiaceae. RNAcentral also lists the same sequence under 1 other name.
UGGCCGGUCGGCUUGCAGCCACGUAAAAUAAUUCGCUAAAGGGCCGUUGCUGAAAAGCC